GACGCAAAAAAAUAAUGACAGAGAAGAAGUCCCUAGGCGGUGGAAAGAAGGUUGAAGGUGCUGGAACUAACCUAUAUCGCUCUGAGGGACCAGAGGGAUGAAGACAGAGAUGAUUUGGAAGACACCUAUGGCUCGAGAAGAUGCCCACUGAAACAGGGCUCUCGAAGAGAAGGCAGACACUGGUCGAAACUCUGAAAUGGAAUAGGGCACCUAAAGGUGGGAGGACGGGUUUAAAUAGACCCUGGGAUCCGACGUCAUAAUGAUCGCGAAUCCCCCCAAGCCAGUCCACACCCGACAUGUGUCCCACUCCCCCCGGCAGGCGGCUAAAAGUGGCUGAUGAAUCAGCAGAGCCAUUAUGGCACCGUACCUAGGCCAGUGUACCGACGGAAAUUUCGAAGGGUCGCUUCGUAUCGCCUCGAUCCGAAAAGACUCCAGCACGCGCACAUUUAAUGCCAAAAUAUCUGGGGGCGGCAGUGCGCAGGAUUCGAAGGGACGGCUUCGGCUGUGCCCAUCUCUCUCUGUACUUCCUUCGUUCGAAAUUCAAACUCGAAAGUAGGGGGACUGGUGUUGGGUAUAAAAUACCCCCAGCCGAAGUCCUCAGCAGAAUC
RNAcentral lists this long non-coding RNA (608 nucleotides) under Elaeis guineensis (African oil palm). RNAcentral's name for it is "long non-coding RNA (EGUI_LNC078070)". Lineage: Eukaryota; Viridiplantae; Streptophyta; Magnoliopsida; Arecales; Arecaceae. The record is from RNAcentral.